UCAGUUCAGACAAGAGAUGUGUCUUCUAGACAGCAUGAGUAACCAUGUGGCAUUUAGAAUAGCUGUAUAUUGUACGUAUAGCAUUUGAACAUGAUAAACAAGAAGGAAGACUCCACCUCAGAGAGAUAUGGAGCCCAAAAGAAUAUAGGAAAGUCCUUCUAAUUAACCCCUGAGGAAGACUUCUAAAGGGAAGAAGAAGAGUUUCAGCAUUAGCCUUCAUCUUGGUCAUCUCCUCUCCCCCUUAACCAGAGGAAAACUAGCUCUCUCAGAAUUUUUUGACUUCCCAUAUGUGUCCUAGACCUAGUUGCUUCCUGAAAAAAUCAUUCCUUGAAUACUUGAUAAGGUAUCCACAUCAGAAGCCAAAGACAAACUGGACACACUGAGUAAAGGAAUUUUAAAACUCUACCAAAAAAGUUACAUGACAUAUUUGGAGAACUUCAGAAAUACCUUACACAGGGGAGAAAACCAUUUAAAUAAAGAACUAGGAAUUA
Molecule: long non-coding RNA, 491 nt
Organism: Monodelphis domestica (gray short-tailed opossum)
Lineage: Eukaryota; Metazoa; Chordata; Mammalia; Didelphimorphia; Didelphidae
Source: RefSeq, a predicted model, not a curated record